Nothoprocta perdicaria is the source of this 203-nucleotide long non-coding RNA. RefSeq lists it as uncharacterized. Lineage: Eukaryota; Metazoa; Chordata; Aves; Tinamiformes; Tinamidae. The transcript is spliced from 2 exons. The record is from RefSeq and is a predicted model, not a curated record.
UAUUUUCUGUCUGUUGAGAAAUGGACUGAUUUAGAAACUGAACAUAAUAGCUGGGUCCCAGUACUAUACUUUGCCCAAGGAAUCUUCCAAAUUGCCACAGAAAAUUGAACCUGUCAAAAGGAGUUCCAGAUGUGAGGGAACAUAUCUCCACAAAUGCUUUGGGAUGCAUAAAACAGGAACAAAAGGAAUCUCAUGUAUUUUCA